AUUGAACGCUGGCGGCACGCCUAACACAUGCAAGUCGAGCGGUAGCAGGACCUGUAGCAAUACAGGUUGCUGACGAGCGGCGGACGGGUGAGGAAUACGUAGGAAGCUGCCUUAUAGGGGGGGAUAACUAAGGGAAACUUUAGAUAAUACCGCAUACUCGCGAGAGAGGAAAGCUGCCGCAAGGUGGCGCUAAAAGAGGGGCCGGCGUCCGAUUAGCCGGUUGGUGAGGUAAGUGCUGACCAAGGCGAUGAUCGGGACCUGGUCUGAGAGGACGACCAGUAACACUGGGACUGAGACACGGCCCAGACUCCUACGGGAGGCAGCAGUGGGGAAUAUUGGACAAUGGGGGCAACCCUGAUCCAGCGAUGCCUCGUGAGUGAAGAAGGCCUUCGGGUCGUAAAGCUCUUUAGUUUGGGAAGAAGGGUGUUAGAGGAAAUGCUAAUACUUUGACGGUACCGACGGAAUAAGCACCGGCAAACUCUGUGCCAGCCGCCGCUGUAA
This 501-nucleotide ribosomal RNA is filed under the name uncultured bacterium. Its description in RNAcentral is "partial 16S ribosomal RNA". It matches the Rfam family "Bacterial small subunit ribosomal RNA", at positions 29 to 523 of the family's 1533-position model. The record is from RNAcentral.